RNAcentral lists this ribosomal RNA (561 nucleotides) under uncultured bacterium. RNAcentral's name for it is "partial 16S ribosomal RNA". It matches the Rfam family "Bacterial small subunit ribosomal RNA", at positions 355 to 937 of the family's 1533-position model. The record is from RNAcentral.
UGGGGAAUCUUAGACAAUGGGGGAAACCCUGAUCUAGCCAUGCCGCGUGAGCGAUGAAGGCCUUAGGGUUGUAAAGCUCUUUCAGCUGGGAAGAUAAUGACGGUACCAGCAGAAGAAGCCCCGGCUAACUCCGUGCCAGCAGCCGCGGUAAUACGGAGGGGGCUAGCGUUGUUCGGAAUUACUGGGCGUAAAGCGCACGUAGGCGGAUUAGUCAGUCAGAGGUGAAAUCCCAGGGCUCAACCCUGGAACUGCCUUUGAUACUGCUAGUCUUGAGGUCGAGAGAGGUGAGUGGAAUUCCGAGUGUAGAGGUGAAAUUCGUAGAUAUUCGGAUGAACACCAGUGGCGAAGGCGGCUCACUGGCUCGAUACUGACGCUGAGGUGCGAAAGCGUGGGGAGCAAAACAGGAUUAGAUACCCUGGUAGUCCACGCCGUAAACGAUGAAUGCCAGUCGUCGGGUUGCAUGCAAUUCGGUGACACACCUAACGGAUUAAAGCAUUCCGCCUGGGGAGUACGGUCGCAAGAUUAAAACUCAAAGGAAUUGACGGGGUCAUAGCUGUUUCC